Molecule: ribosomal RNA, 492 nt
Filed under: uncultured bacterium
Lineage: Bacteria
Description: partial 16S ribosomal RNA
Rfam family: Bacterial small subunit ribosomal RNA
Source: RNAcentral
AGUGAACGCUGGCGGUAGGCCUAACACAUGCAAGUCGAACGGCAGCACAGUAAGGGCUUGCUCUUACGGGUGGCGAGUGGCGGAUGGGUGAGGAAUACAUCGGAAUCUACUUUUUCGUGGGGGAUAACGUAGGGAAACUUACGCUAAUACCGCAUACGAACUACGGGUGAAAGCAGGGGAUCUUAGGACCUUGCGCGAUUGAAUGAGCCGAUGUCGGAUUAGCUAGUUGGCGGGGUAAAGGCCCACCAAGGCGACGAUCCGUAGCUGGUCUGAGAGGAUGAGCAGCCACACUGGAACUGAGACACGGUCCAGACUCCUACGGGAGGCAGCAGUGGGGAAUAUUGGACAAUGGGCGCAAGCCUGAUCCAGCCAUACCGCGUGGGUGAAGAAGGCCUUCGGGUUGUAAAGCCCUUUUGUUGGGAAAGAAAAGCAGCAGGUUAAUACCCCGCUGUUCUGACGGUACCCAAAGAAUAAGCACCGGCUAACUUCGUG